AAUAUUGCACAAUGGGCGCAAGCCUGAUGCAGCAACGCCGCGUGAGGGAUGACGGCCUUCGGGUUGUAACCCUCUUUUAGUAAGGAAGAAGCCGCAAGGUGACGGUACUUGCAGAAAAAGCACCGGCUAACUACGUGCCAGCAGACGCGGUAAUACGUAGGGUGCAAGCGUUGUCCGGAAUUAUUGGGCGUAAAGAGCUCGUAGGCGGUUUGUCGCGUCUGCUGUGAAAUCCCGGGGCUCAACCCCGGGCCUGCAGUGGGUACGGGCAGACUAGAGUGCGGUAGGGGAGAUUGGAAUUCCUGGUGUAGCGGUGGAAUGCGAAGAUAUCAGGAGGAACACCGAUGGCGAAGGCAGAUCUCUGGGCCGUUACUGACGCUGAGGAGCGAAAGCAUGGGGAGCGAACAGG
Molecule: ribosomal RNA, 406 nt
Filed under: uncultured bacterium
Lineage: Bacteria
Description: partial 16S ribosomal RNA
Rfam family: Bacterial small subunit ribosomal RNA
Source: RNAcentral